UACGUAGGGGGCAAGCGUUAUCCGGAUUUACUGGGUGUAAAGGGAGCGUAGACGGCAGCGCAAGUCUGGAGUGAAAUGCCGGGGCUCAACCCCGGAACCGCUUUGGAAACUGUGCAGCUAGAGUGCGGGAGAGGUAAGCGGAAUUCCUAGUGUAGCGGUGAAAUGCGUAGAUAUUAGGAGGAACACCAGUGGCGAAGGCGGCUUACUGGACGGCAACUGACGCUGAGGCUCGAAAGCGUGGGGAGCAAACAGG
This 253-nucleotide ribosomal RNA is filed under the name uncultured bacterium. Its description in RNAcentral is "partial 16S ribosomal RNA". It matches the Rfam family "Bacterial small subunit ribosomal RNA", at positions 524 to 776 of the family's 1533-position model. The record is from RNAcentral.